GAGGGUGGGCCCCUCGGAGCCGCUGUACAGGCGGAGGCUUCAAACCACCUUAAUCUGCUGCGGAUCUGAGGG
This is a non-coding RNA of Paenibacillus sp. Soil522, 72 nucleotides long. Lineage: Bacteria; Bacillati; Bacillota; Bacilli; Caryophanales; Paenibacillaceae. The record is from Rfam.